RNAcentral lists this ribosomal RNA (521 nucleotides) under uncultured Alphaproteobacteria bacterium. RNAcentral describes it as "bacterial SSU rRNA". It matches the Rfam family "Bacterial small subunit ribosomal RNA", at positions 97 to 653 of the family's 1533-position model. The record is from RNAcentral. Lineage: Bacteria; Pseudomonadati; Pseudomonadota; Alphaproteobacteria.
GGCGGACGGGUGAGUAGCGCGUGGGAACCUACCUUGCAGUACGGAAUAACUGUUGGAUACGGCAGCUAAUACCGUAUACGCCCUUCGGGGGAAAGAUUUAUCGCUGUUGGAUGGGCCCGCGCCUGAUUAGCUUGUUGGUGAGGUAAUGGCUCACCAAGGCUACGAUCAGUAGCUGGUCUGAGAGGAUGAUCAGCCACACUGGGACUGAGACACGGCCCAGACUCCUACGGGAGGCAGCAGUGGGGAAUAUUGGACAAUGGGGGCAACCCUGAUCCAGCCAUGCCGCGUGAGUGAAGAAGGCCUUAGGGUUGUAAAACUCUUUCACCAGGGACGAUGAUGACGGUACCUGGAGAAGAAGCCCCGGCUAACUCCGUGCCAGCAGCCGCGGUAAUACGGAGGGGGCUAGCGUUGUUCGGAAUUACUGGGCGUAAAGCGCGCGUAGGCGGUUUAUCAAGUCAGACGUGAAAUCCCCGGGCUCAACCCGGGAACUGCGUUUGAUACUGGUUGACUAGAGGCCGGGA